Long non-coding RNA from Mus caroli (Ryukyu mouse), 601 nucleotides. RefSeq lists it as uncharacterized. The record is from RefSeq and is a predicted model, not a curated record. Lineage: Eukaryota; Metazoa; Chordata; Mammalia; Rodentia; Muridae.
UCAGCCAGGCCCACAGCAGGCCAGCCAUAGAGGUUCUUCCUGGGCCCCUCAAAGGCACAGUCAUGACCCGCUGGCUGCAGAAAGUCCUGGCUAUCCCACAGGAUCACAAGGGAUGGAAGAAAGGAAGGAAAGUGGCCUUCUCUGCUAAGCUGUGAGCCCAGGUUCUUCCCUAUCCCCUCUUACUCUGCAGUCAGAACGUCAGAAAACCAAUGGAAUCGCCAUGUCAAGUUCAAGAUACCUUCUCCCAGAGGCGGCUGUCUCCCUUUUCAAUCUGACCCACUUGAGAGGAUGGGAACUACAGUCCUCUGAAUGACCGGAAAAGCAGCUCCGGUGGCCUGUAUGUUUUGUAAGAUUUGCUGACACAUCGGCUCAGUGGAUUCUGGUCUGGUCCAGCUCUCUCUACACCCAUGGGGUCCUUGCUCUGUGAAGAUGGCCUGAAUAGUCUUUUGAUGGAUGGUAAUGAGAAGCAAAGGAGUCCGUCCUCCUGCCUCCACCUUCCAAGUGCUGGGAUUACAAUGUAAUCAGUUUUCAGCUUGUGGAUCUUGACCCCUUUGGGGCUCAAACAACCCUUUCACAGGGGUCACAUAGCAGAUAUCCUGCA